RNAcentral lists this ribosomal RNA (826 nucleotides) under Parachaetomium carinthiacum. Its description in RNAcentral is "LSU rRNA". It matches the Rfam family "Eukaryotic large subunit ribosomal RNA", at positions 78 to 938 of the family's 3401-position model. Lineage: Eukaryota; Fungi; Ascomycota; Sordariomycetes; Sordariales; Chaetomiaceae. The record is from RNAcentral.
CCCUAGUAACGGCGAGUGAAGCGGCAACAGCUCAAAUUUGAAAUCUGGCCUCGGCCCGAGUUGUAAUUUGCAGAGGAAGCUUUAGGCGCGGCACCUUCUGAGUCCCCUGGAACGGGGCGCCAUAGAGGGUGAGAGCCCCGUAUAGUUGGAUGCCUAGCCUGUGUAAAGCUCCUUCGACGAGUCGAGUAGUUUGGGAAUGCUGCUCAAAAUGGGAGGUAAAUUUCUUCUAAAGCUAAAUACCGGCCAGAGACCGAUAGCGCACAAGUAGAGUGAUCGAAAGAUGAAAAGCACUUUGAAAAGAGGGUUAAAUAGCACGUGAAAUUGUUGAAAGGGAAGCGCUUGUGACCAGACUUGCGCCGGGCUGAUCAUCCGGUGUUCUCACCGGUGCACUCGGCCCGGCUCAGGCCAGCAUCGGUUCUCGCGGGGGGAUAAAGGCCCUGGGAACGUAGCUCCUCCGGGAGUGUUAUAGCCCAGGGCGUAAUGCCCUCGCGGGGACCGAGGUUCGCGCAUCUGCAAGGAUGCUGGCGUAAUGGUCAUCAGCGACCCGUCUUGAAACACGGACCAAGGAGUCAAGGUUUUGCGCGAGUGUUUGGGUGUAAAACCCGCACGCGUAAUGAAAGUGAACGUAGGUGAGAGCUUCGGCGCAUCAUCGACCGAUCCUGAUGUUUUCGGAUGGAUUUGAGUAGGAGCGUUAAGCCUUGGACCCGAAAGAUGGUGAACUAUGCUUGGAUAGGGUGAAGCCAGAGGAAACUCUGGUGGAGGCUCGCAGCGGUUCUGACGUGCAAAUCGAUCGUCAAAUCUGAGCAUGGGGCGAAAGACUAAUCGA